AGCAGCCGCGGUAACACGUAGGGGGCGAGCGUUGUCCGGAUGUAUUGGGCGUAAAGAGCUCGUAGGCGGCUCGGUAAGUCGGGUGUGAAACCUCCAGGCUCAACCUGGAGACGCCACCCGAUACUGCUGUGGCUAGAGUCCGGUAGGGGAGCGUGGAACUCCUGGUGUAGCGGUGAAAUGCGCAGAUAUCAGGAAGAACACCAGCGGCGAAGGCGGCGCUCUGGGCCGGAACUGACGCUGAGGAGCGAAAGCGUGGGUAGCAAACAGG
RNAcentral lists this ribosomal RNA (268 nucleotides) under uncultured bacterium. RNAcentral's name for it is "partial 16S ribosomal RNA". It matches the Rfam family "Bacterial small subunit ribosomal RNA", at positions 510 to 776 of the family's 1533-position model. The record is from RNAcentral.